Long non-coding RNA from Eurytemora carolleeae, 1151 nucleotides. RefSeq lists it as uncharacterized. NCBI's taxonomy places the organism in Eukaryota, Metazoa, Arthropoda, Copepoda, Calanoida, Temoridae. The transcript is spliced from 7 exons. The record is from RefSeq and is a predicted model, not a curated record.
GAACAACCUCCCCUGAUUAUUUGAUUCCUGUAGGUGAGGUAAGAUUAAUUUACAGGGUUACCCAAAAAGAUGAGACUGUAAAGACGAUGUGAGAUUUUUUAAAUAUGACGACCCAAGUUUGUAUUAAGCCUUGAAUGUCGUUUUUACAUGGCUUAUUUAAUGAUUUGCCAAAGAAAGAGAGAAGUUUAUUUUAUAGUUGACGGGAAUCAUGAAUAUAAGGAAACAGACAAUGUAAAUUCCGUACAGUCGUCUCUGAAGUCUCAUCCUUUGUGAUUAACCCUGGAGCUAGUCACGGUAGGUUGCUACUUUUCUGAAAAAGAGAGAGGAUGGUGGGUCAAGGGAUUAUUUUAUAAAAUUAAAUAAUUUCAGGUUUUUGUUGUUUGUUUGUUUGUGUUGAUCGGCCUGGUGGCAGCUGAACCUUAUGGGUAUAUUCCACACCAUGGGGGCCCGCAUUGUACCAAGGAAUUGGUGACCAUAUCUGCUACACUAUGUAAACUGGAUUACAACAAGGAAUGCACAACAGAAACAAAAGUCAUUGGAGAUCAUGUGAAGUACGAGAAGGGAGAAUGUGAAGAGGUGGAGAUUUGUACACCAGUACACUUUGUUCCUAGACUAGGUCACUACCGGAAGCGCGAAGCAUCCGGAUAUGAGAGCCCUGAAUGUGAGAAGGCGACUAAGGAAGUGUGUAAGCAGGUUCCGGUCAGCACACCUGUAGAGAAGGAAGUAGAGAUAUGUGUCAGCACUCCAGUUGAGGUUUGUGAACCCGUGGAGCAGAAAGUUCCCAAGAUCACCUGUGAAAAACUAAAGCACUGAAAUCUUGAUUCUUGAAUGUAUGCGCUUCCAAUCAUCACAAUGCUGUCAAAGUUCUGUGUUCAAAUUAUGCAUUAAUCAAAAUUCGUAAAUAAAUUUUUAAUCCUAUAAUAUGCUUUCAUUGGAUUUGAAGCUAUUGCACAUCCGUGAAAUUUCACCAUUAAUUCUAGUAUUAUUAAAUGGUAAAUUCAAUAUUUAAUACAUGGGUUGGCGUUAAUAUCAAAACAAUGAAGACGAUUUGUCUAUUUAUGUUUUGAUUUCUCAAUGCUUUGUUCAAACUAUUAUUUGAACAUUAAGCGAAUGUGUUAAUAGACGCUUCUAUUUAUGUUUUGAUUUCUCAA